Molecule: non-coding RNA, 56 nt
Organism: Caenorhabditis elegans
Lineage: Eukaryota; Metazoa; Nematoda; Chromadorea; Rhabditida; Rhabditidae
Source: Ensembl
CUACUCAACAAGAAAGUCUAAUGAUAAUCAGCAGAAAGGCAACAGACUGAAAUGAG